UUAGGCACAGCAAAUUCAAAUGCUAUUUAUUGAAGGCUGGAGGUGUCCAGGCUCUUGCGGCUUGUGGAAUGCUCCCCUCUUCCCCACCCUGCUCCCCACUCUCCCAGUCCUCACCCCCCACUGGCAAAUGAACUUGCGUUUCCUUCCAUGCAAGUCCACUGAAAUCAGGAUAUUAGUUAUAUUUGAAGCGACAUGUUCUAAAGUUACUCGGAAAGAAAAAGGUAUCAGUUUUCCAUCAAGGCACUUCCCAUCUCAGACGUGGUCCUGGGGAUGUGCCCCUGACACCGAAACCAGCAGACCCUGCCUGUGGCUAUGAACGGGGCUGCAGGUGAUGAAUGGGGCACUCCGGCGUUCUGAGAACUGAGCACAGGGGCACCAGGCCCUAAGUGAGUUCUGCUCCGGGGUGGCCGGGCCCGAGAGCACUGACGUCCAACAGGAGUGUCGCUGCCCACCGCCUCCCACAAGAGGACACUUCGAUUUGCCAGAGAAGGGCAGAGUGGGAGAUGACUUUUUCUCAGCAUCUUGCCUCGUUUUCCUCUUCCCAGAGGUUUGUUUUUAAGGAAGUUUAAGCUUGCUGCA
RNAcentral lists this long non-coding RNA (579 nucleotides) under Pan troglodytes (chimpanzee). RNAcentral's name for it is "lincRNA". The record is from RNAcentral. Lineage: Eukaryota; Metazoa; Chordata; Mammalia; Primates; Hominidae.